UACGUAGGGCGCGAGCGUUGUCCGGAAUUACUGGGCGUAAAGAGCUCGUAGGAGGUUUGUCGCGUUGUUCGUGAAAACUCACAGCUUAACUGUGGGCGUGCGGGCGAUACGGGCAGACUGGAGUACUGCAGGGGAGACUGGGAUUCCUGGUGUAGCGGUGGAAUGCGCAGAUAUCAGGAGGAACACCGGUGGCGAAGGCGGGUCUCUGGGCAGUAACUGACGCUGAGGAGCGAAAGCGUGGGGAGCGAACAGG
RNAcentral lists this ribosomal RNA (253 nucleotides) under uncultured bacterium. Its description in RNAcentral is "partial 16S ribosomal RNA". It matches the Rfam family "Bacterial small subunit ribosomal RNA", at positions 524 to 776 of the family's 1533-position model. The record is from RNAcentral.